AAAGCGCGUAAUUUGUACUAUUCAUCCAUCCACCGGCUGCCAACAAUGAGUGAGGGAAUAGUUCCGGUUGUGAAGAAAAGUCCUAUAAGUAUCUACCUUCGCCUUCCACAGCAAAGGCACACCCUCUCAGCACUUUUUCAUCUCCGAGAAUGUAUUUCCAACACACCCUCUCGAGUCACUCAGUGUUCCUUAUUCCUUGGGGUACCUCUGCAAACAACCUAUCCAAAGCAAAAGUAUUUCAUAUCAUGAAGGUUGAAAGCAAGAGUAUCUCAUAUCAUGCAUUCUCCAUGUCCUUUUCCUUGUCUUUGUUCUAACCUGCAGG
Molecule: long non-coding RNA, 322 nt
Filed under: Malus domestica (apple)
Lineage: Eukaryota; Viridiplantae; Streptophyta; Magnoliopsida; Rosales; Rosaceae
Description: long non-coding RNA (MDOM_LNC004274)
Source: RNAcentral